Molecule: ribosomal RNA, 1435 nt
Filed under: uncultured marine bacterium
Lineage: Bacteria
Description: bacterial SSU rRNA
Rfam family: Bacterial small subunit ribosomal RNA
Source: RNAcentral
GAGUUUGAUCAUGGCUCAGAACGUACGCUGGCGGCACGCCUAACACAUGCAAGCCGAACGAAGUAGCAAUACUUAGUGGCAGACGGGUGAGUAACAUGUAGGUAUCUGCCCUUUGGCCUGGAAUAACACGAGGAAACUUGUGCUAAUACCGGAUAAGUCUUUACGGAGAAAGCUUUAUGCACCAUUGGAUGAGCCUGCACUUGAUUAGUUUGUUGGUGGGGUAAUGGCCUACCAAGACUGUGGUCAAUAGCUGAUUUGAGAGGAUGAUCAGCCACAUUGGGACUGAGACACGGCCCAAACUCCUACGGGAGGCAGCAGUGGGGAAUCUUGCACAAUGGAGGAAACUCUGAUGCAGCGAUGCCGCGUGAGUGAAGAAGGCCUCUGGGUUGUAAAGCUCUUUCGUCGGGGAAGAAAAUGACUGUACCCGAAUAAGAAGGUCCGGCUAACUUCGUGCCAGCAGCCGCGGUAAUACGAAGGGACCUAGCGUAGUUCGGAAUUACUGGGCUUAAAGAGUUCGUAGGUGGUUGAAAAAGUUGGUGGUGAAAUCCCAGAGCUUAACUCUGGAACUGCCAUCAAAACUUUUCAGCUAGAGUGUGAUAGAGGAAAGCAGAAUUUCUAGUGUAGAGGUGAAAUUCGUAGAUAUUAGAAAGAAUACCAAUUGCGAAGGCAGCUUUCUGGAUCAUUACUGACACUGAGGAACGAAAGCAUGGGUAGCGAAGAGGAUUAGAUACCCUCGUAGUCCAUGCCGUAAACGAUGUGUGUUAGACGUUGGAAAUUUAUUUUCAGUGUCGCAGGGAAACCGAUAAACACACCGCCUGGGGAGUACGACCGCAAGGUUAAAACUCAAAUGAAUUGACGGGGACCCGCACAAGUAGUGGAGCAUGUGGUUUAAUUCGAAGAUACGCGCAGAACCUUACCAACACUUGACAUGUUCGUCGCGACUCUAAGAGAUUAGAGUUUUCGGUUCGGCCGGACGAAACACAGGUGCUGCAUGGCUGUCGUCAGCUCGUGUCGUGAGAUGCUGGGUUAAGUCCCGCAACGAGCGCAACCCUCACUUUUAGUUGCCAUCAUUAAGUUGGGCACUCUGAAAGAACUGCCAGUGAUAAGCUGGAGGAAGGUGGGGAUGACGUCAAGUCCUCAUGGCCCUUACGUGUUGGGCUACACACGUGCUACAAUGGUAUCUACAACAGGAAGCAAAACUGCGAAGUUAAGCAAAUCCCUAAAAGAUACCUCAGUUCGGAUUGCACUCUGCAACUCGAGUGCAUGAAGCUGGAAUUACUAGUAAUCGUGGAUCAGCGUGCCACGGUGAAUGCGUUCCCGGGUCUUGUACACACCGCCCGUCACACCAUGGGAGUUGGUUUUACCUUAAGGCAAGGUUUCAAACCCUUGACCACGGUAUAGUCAGCGACUGGGGUGAAGUCGUAACAAGGUAACC